Molecule: ribosomal RNA, 405 nt
Filed under: uncultured bacterium
Lineage: Bacteria
Description: partial 16S ribosomal RNA
Rfam family: Bacterial small subunit ribosomal RNA
Source: RNAcentral
AUUGAACGCUGGCGGCAGGCUUAACACAUGCAAGUCGUACGAGUGGCGGACGGGUGUGUAAUGCUUGGGAAUCUAGCUUAUGGAGGGGGAUAACUACGGGAAACUGUAGCUAAUCCCGCGUACCAUAGGAUGAGCCCAGGUGGGAUUAGGUAGUGGGUGGGGUAAAGGCUCACCAAGCCGACGAUCUCUAGCUGGUCUGAGAGGAUGACCAGCCACACUGGGACUGAGAAACGGCCCAGACUCCUACGGGAGGCAGAAGUGGGGAAUAUUGCGCAAUGGGGGCAACCUGACGCAGCAAGGCGGCGUGAAUGAAGAAGGCCUUCGGGUUGUAAAGUUCUUUCGGUAGCGAGGCGUUAACUACAGAAGAAGGACCGGCUAACUCCGUGCCAGCCGCCGCGGUAAUUC